CUGACUCCACCCAGCAAGGUUCGGAGGUGAGCUUCAUUUCAGCUGUGAUUACAGAGGCACUGCUGAGACUGGGCCUAGCAGAUCUCCACUGAUUGUUUGCCAGGCACUGGGUGUUGUUACAGAGCGGGACUGCUGAGCUGGCUAUCUUGGAAUUUAUAAACAGUCCUCAAAAGAUGAAUUGUGCUUGUGCAGACAUCUUUCUUUUCUCCAUACACAAGAUUGUGAUGACACAUUUUUAAUGCCUCUUGAUAUUGGUAUCUUGUUUUAUCUACUACCAAUAAAAGAUUUCUGACCUGCAGACAAGUGAAGUCUUCUGCACAUUCAGAUUAUGUCUUCGUCCUCUGAGGAAUUUAUGAUGUCUUGGAAGCCAGUUGCAGGACCUGGUUGUAGAAGGGAUCAAUCAUUUCGAUACAUGGAGUCUUGGAAAGAGCUAUCUAUUUUCUUCAAUGAAAGUAAUUCAACCUUUCACUCUCCUGUGAGUCACUGAGCAAAUAGUCCAGCAGAUGGAUCUGAGGUUCCUUCAGACUUACAAGCUCCUGAUGAUUCUCACCACGCUCAUUAACCUUAUGCUUUUGAAAAGAAACGCAGUCCGCUGGCUGAAGACUUUCUAUAUUGACAUUUCUGGAGCCACUAUAGUUGAAGGAAAAAAUACCAUUUGCUUUUCAUGGGAAAGU
Numida meleagris (helmeted guineafowl) is the source of this 674-nucleotide long non-coding RNA. RefSeq lists it as uncharacterized. Lineage: Eukaryota; Metazoa; Chordata; Aves; Galliformes; Numididae. The transcript is spliced from 3 exons. The record is from RefSeq and is a predicted model, not a curated record.